GAUGAACGCUGGCGGCGUGCCUAACACAUGCAAGUCGAACGGAAAGACGAGGAGAUUGUGCCCUUGACGUUAGCGGCGGGCGGGCGAGUAACGAGUGGAUAACCAACUUAUAUGUCGGGGAUGAUAACGGGAGACAGGAUCUGAUAAUGGAGAAUAUAUUGAACCGCAGGGUGCAAUGGAGAAUGACGGCUUUGGUGUUUGUAUUAGCCGGUUCCGGGCCGGAUUGGUUAGUUGGUAAGGUCACGGCACACCAAGGCGACGAUGCGUAGCCGGGCUGAGCGGGUGAUCGGCCACACUGGAACUGAGACACGGUCCAGACUCCUACGGGAGGCAGCAGUGGGGAAUAUUCGACAAUGGGCGCAAGCCUGACCCAGCAAUACCGCGUGGGUGAAGAAGGUCUUCGGGUCGUAAAGCCCUUUUAUUGGGGAAGAACAGCUGUAGAUUAAAACAUAGCCGUUCUGACGGUACCCAAUCAAUAAGCAACGGCUAACUACGUG
Molecule: ribosomal RNA, 497 nt
Filed under: uncultured bacterium
Lineage: Bacteria
Description: partial 16S ribosomal RNA
Rfam family: Bacterial small subunit ribosomal RNA
Source: RNAcentral